Molecule: ribosomal RNA, 285 nt
Filed under: uncultured Glomeromycotina
Lineage: Eukaryota; Fungi; Glomeromycota
Description: partial 18S ribosomal RNA
Rfam family: Eukaryotic small subunit ribosomal RNA
Source: RNAcentral
UGGAAUAAUAAAAUAGGACGGCAUGGUUCUAUUUUGUUGGUUUCUAGGAUCACCGUAAUGAUUAAUAGGGAUAGUUGGGGGCAUUAGUAUUCAAUUGUCAGAGGUGAAAUUCUUGGAUUUAUUGAAGACUAACUUCUGCGAAAGCAUUUGCCAAGGAUGUUUUCAUUAAUCAAGAACGAAAGUUAGGGGAUCGAAGACGAUCAGAUACCGUCGUAGUCUUAACCAUAAACUAUGCCGACUAGGAAUCGGGCGACGUUAUUUUCAUGACUCGCUCGGCGCCUUAUG